CCGCACGGGUGAGUAACACGUAUCCAACCUGCCGUCUACUCUUGGACAGCCUUCUGAAAGGAAGAUUAAUACAAGAUGGCAUCAUGAGUUCACAUGUUCACAUGAUUAAAGGUACUCCGGUAGACGAUGGGGAUGCGUUCCAUUAGAUAGUAGGCGGGGUAACGGCCCACCUAGUCUUCGAUGGAUAGGGGUUCUGAGAGGAAGGUCCCCCACAUUGGAACUGAGACACGGUCCAA
This 236-nucleotide ribosomal RNA is filed under the name uncultured bacterium. Its description in RNAcentral is "partial 16S ribosomal RNA". It matches the Rfam family "Bacterial small subunit ribosomal RNA", at positions 98 to 334 of the family's 1533-position model. The record is from RNAcentral.